RNAcentral lists this ribosomal RNA (429 nucleotides) under Verrucomicrobiota bacterium. RNAcentral's name for it is "Verrucomicrobia bacterium partial 16S ribosomal RNA". It matches the Rfam family "Bacterial small subunit ribosomal RNA", at positions 355 to 776 of the family's 1533-position model. The record is from RNAcentral. Lineage: Bacteria; Pseudomonadati; Verrucomicrobiota.
UAGGGAAUCUUCGGCAAUGGGGGGAACCCUGACCGAGCAACGCCGCGUGAGUGAAGAAGGUUUUCGGAUCGUAAAGCUCUGUUGUUAAGGAAGAACGAGUGUGAGAAUGGAAAGUUCAUGCUGUGACGGUACUUAACCAGAAAGGGACGGCUAACUACGUGCCGGCAGCCGCGGUAAUACGUAGGUCCCGAGCGUUGUCCGGAUUUAUUGGGCGUAAAGCGAGCGCAGGCGGUUAGAAAAGUCUGAAGUGAAAGGCAGUGGCUCAACCAUUGUAGGCUUUGGAAACUGUUUAACUUGAGUGCAGAAGGGGAGAGUGGAAUUCCAUGUGUAGCGGUGAAAUGCGUAGAUAUAUGGAGGAACACCGGUGGCGAAAGCGGCUCUCUGGUCUGUAACUGACGCUGAGGCUCGAAAGCGUGGGGAGCGAACAGG